UACGUAGGGACCAAGCGUUGUUCGGAUUUACUGGGCGUAAAGGGCGCGUAGGCGGCAAAUCAAGUCAGCUGUGAAAUCUCCGAGCUUAACUCGGAACGGUCAGCUGAUACUGUUUUGCUAGAGUGCAGAAGGGGCAAUCGGAAUUCUGGGUGUAGCGGUGAAAUGCGUAGAUAUCAAGAGGAACACCUGAGGUGAAGACGGGUUGCUGGGCUGACACUGACGCUGAGGCGCGAAAGCUAGGGUAGCAAACGGG
This 253-nucleotide ribosomal RNA is filed under the name uncultured bacterium. RNAcentral's name for it is "partial 16S ribosomal RNA". It matches the Rfam family "Bacterial small subunit ribosomal RNA", at positions 524 to 776 of the family's 1533-position model. The record is from RNAcentral.